CGGGUGAGUAAUGCGUGACCAACCUGCCCCAUGCUCCAGAAUAGCUCUUGGAAACGGGUGGUAAUGCUGGAUGCUCCAACUUGACGCAUGUCUUGUUGGGAAAGUGUUUAGUGGCAUGGGAUGGGGUCGCGUCCUAUCAGCUUGUAGGCGGGGUAAUGGCCCACCUUGGCUUCGACGGGUAGCCGGCCUGAGAGGGCGGACGGCCACAUUGGGACUGAGAUACGGCCCAGACUCCUACGGGAGGCAGCAGAC
This 252-nucleotide ribosomal RNA is filed under the name uncultured Gardnerella sp. Its description in RNAcentral is "partial 16S ribosomal RNA". It matches the Rfam family "Bacterial small subunit ribosomal RNA", at positions 103 to 354 of the family's 1533-position model. Lineage: Bacteria; Bacillati; Actinomycetota; Actinomycetes; Bifidobacteriales; Bifidobacteriaceae. The record is from RNAcentral.